GAUGAAGAACGCAGCGAAAUGCGAUAAGUAAUGUGAAUUGCAGAAUUCAGUGAAUCAUCGAAUCUUUGAACGCACAUUGCGCCCCUUGGUAUUCCGAGGGGCAUGCCUGUUCGAGCGUCAUUACACCACUCAAGCUAUGCUUGGUAUUGGGCGUCGUCCUUAGUUGGGCGCGCCUUAAAGACCUCGGCGAGGCCACUCCGGCUUUAGGCGUAGUAGAAUUUAUUCGAACGUCUGUCAAAGGAGAGGAACUCUGCCGACUGAAACCUUUAUUUUUCUAGGUUGACCUCGGAUCAGGUAGGGAUACCCGCUGAACUUAAGCAUAUCAUAAGCGGAGGA
Molecule: unclassified non-coding RNA, 336 nt
Filed under: soil metagenome
Description: partial contains 5.8S ribosomal RNA, internal transcribed spacer 2, and large subunit ribosomal RNA
Rfam family: 5.8S ribosomal RNA (bases 1-120)
Source: RNAcentral